Long non-coding RNA from Felis catus (domestic cat), 1211 nucleotides. RefSeq lists it as uncharacterized. The transcript has 4 exons. Lineage: Eukaryota; Metazoa; Chordata; Mammalia; Carnivora; Felidae. The record is from RefSeq and is a predicted model, not a curated record.
CGAAUCAUCUUUACCUAUAUAUCCUCCGCCUCCUCCACCUGAGGAGCACCCCCCUCCACCCCCUCCGAAACCCCCUCUUGUCUCCCACCCCCACUUCUUCAUGGCCUGGGGGCAGGAAUGUCCUCCGGUGGCACCCUCCAGCAAAGAUUUUCCAGACCAGAGCAAGGAAGUGUUAUCAUUCCAGCCACCUCCACCACCUGCAGGAGACACGGAGAAAACCCCAAGUGAGGAUGCUGGCCAGUGCUGGGACUUUGUUUCAUUAGUGCUUCCCAUCCAACAAGAACCGGGACCCACCGGUCCUUGGGCAGCCAACUGUCAGAGCCCCGCUGGGAUCACCGCAGUGAAGUUCUUUUGCAGGAACCCUGGACUAGGCCAGACAAACCAAUGGGCUUUAUUGUUUCCUGGGCAAGAACUUCUCCAUUCUGAGCCUCAGUUUCCUCACCUGUGACUUGGGGAUAAUAAGACUUGCCUCAUUGGGUUGAUGUUUGGACCAAAGAAGACAACGAGUGUGCAAAAUGCUUCAGAAACCACAACGUGUAGGGAUCGUUGGGCAUGAGGUGAACACGUGUGUGCACAGGGCCUCACGCUCUGAAGCUCAGGAAAGGCACUCUACUCCAAAAGACCCCAAAGUCCUUUCUGUUCCAGCAGAUGGUGGUAGCAAAGACCUGGAGAAACAGCAGUGCUUGAGUCUGCGGAACCAUGAGGGUUAACUGGCCGGGAAGGGCGGUCUGGAAGAAUGAGUGGCAGAGCUUUUAAGCAAAUGUGUGGAAAAGAAAACAAUCGGCAAAAAGAGAAAAAAAAAAAAAAACAACAAAUGAACCACAGCAGUGUUUUAAAAAAUGGACUGAGUAUGAAACAGUUUGGCUAUUUGGAGAAAAAAGAAUCCACCAACUCUAUGAGCUCAUUGAUUCUUCUGUAAAAUGGGAAUAACAGUACAACGGGAAAGCCCUGCGGGUGGUGCUGAGAAGCACACGUACAACAGAUGUGGAAGUGCUUGGAGAGCUCUUAACUGCCGCUGUGAACGUCGCUGGAUGGUCUUCACCAAGCACCCAAGCCCUACUCCCACUCUCCCUUCUCUUCUAGCCAUCUCUCACUUGUAGGGAAACUUUGAGGACUUGUUUUCAUUAAUCUCAAAUCUUAUAGGCCUUCUGAGAUCCUUGGUCUGAUUGUGGAGAAAAGAAAAUACAACAAUGAACUGCAUUUUCUCUUCA